Molecule: long non-coding RNA, 328 nt
Filed under: Homo sapiens (human)
Lineage: Eukaryota; Metazoa; Chordata; Mammalia; Primates; Hominidae
Description: HSALNT0347417
Source: RNAcentral
CUCACACACUGUUCUGCACUGCUCUACUUUCUGUUCAUCCCACUUGGGCCCUGAUGCUCUGCUCUCCAUGGAUACCCUCCUCACCUUGCUGGGCUCCAGCACCUGGUGCUUGGCCACUGUGGCCUGUUUCCUACUUCACCCACUGCUGGUGCCUACCUUGGUCAGCUCUAUCUAACGGCUUUUGAACCAAAAGAAGGGGAGAAAAGAGAAGAGAAGGGAAAGGACAGGGGGAGACUGGAAAUGGCUUUUGACAGAGCUUACUCAGGCCAAGUCACAAACUCAGGGCCAUCAUUCUCGGAAUGAUUUGAACAUUUAGUCAACAUUUCAA